RNAcentral lists this ribosomal RNA (563 nucleotides) under uncultured bacterium. RNAcentral's name for it is "bacterial SSU rRNA". It matches the Rfam family "Bacterial small subunit ribosomal RNA", at positions 338 to 916 of the family's 1533-position model. The record is from RNAcentral.
CCUACGGGAGGCAGCAGUGGGGAAUCUUGCGCAAUGGGCGAAAGCCUGACGCAGCAACGCCGCGUGCGGGAAGAAGGCCUUCGGGUUGUAAACCGCUUUCAGCAGGAACGAAAAUGACGGUACCUGCAGAAGAAGGAGCGGCCAACUACGUGCCAGCAGCCGCGGUGACACGUAGGCUCCAAGCGUUGUCCGGAUUUAUUGGGCGUAAAGAGCUCGUAGGCGGUUCAGUAAGUCGGGUGUGAAAACUCUGGGCUCAACCCAGAGCCUGCAUUCGAAACUGCUGUGACUAGAGUUUGGUAGGGGAGCGGGGAAUUCCUAGUGUAGCGGUGAAAUGCGCAGAUAUUAGGAGGAACACCGGUGGCGAAAGCGCCGCUCUGGGCCAAUACUGACGCUGAGGAGCGAAAGCGUGGGUAGCAAACAGGAUUAGAUACCCUGGUAGUCCACGCCGUAAACGAUGGGCACUAGGUGUGGGUUUCAACUAACGAAAUCCGUGCCGUCGCUAACGCAUUAAGUGCCCGCCUGGGGAGUACGGUCGCAAGACUAAAACUCAAAGGAAUUGACGG